This 7140-nucleotide long non-coding RNA is filed under the name Xyrichtys novacula (pearly razorfish). Lineage: Eukaryota; Metazoa; Chordata; Actinopteri; Labriformes; Labridae. The record is from RNAcentral.
GCCUCCACCUCCUGUUGGAGCAGCUUCACAUCUUCUUCUCUGUCCUGGAUUCUCUGCUGGAUGUUUUCUCGACUCUCCUCCAGAUCUUUCUGCCUCUCAGUCCUUUCUGCUGCAGCUGAGACUGUGUCGUGGCCUUUGUGUUGGUCCAAACAGCAGAGAUGACAGAUAGACUUCUGAUCAGUGCGACAGAACAUCUUCAUCACCUCAUCAUGAUCAGAGCAGAUGUUCUCCUGGAGCUUCUUGGAGGGCUCCACCAGCUUGUGUUUCUUAAAUGAAGGUGAUUCAAAAUGAGGCUGGAGGUGAAUCUGGCAGUAAGAAACCAGACAUUGAAGACAGGACUUGACAGCUUUCAGUUUUCUCCCACUGCAGAAAUCACAGGCCACAUCUUCAGGUCCAGCCUCAGAGGAACCAUCAGGAGCAGCUUGGAGUCCGCUCUUCUUCACUUCCUCCACUAAACCUGCUAACAUGGUGUUUUUCUUCAGGACAGGCCUCGGUAUGAAGGUCUCUCUGCACUGAGGACAGCUGUAGAUCUUCUUCUCAUCCUCAGUAUCCCAGUAGGAUUGAAUACAGCUCAUGCAGAAGCUGUGUCCACAGGAAACAGUCACCGGAUCCUUCAGAAGAUCCAAACAGAUGGAACAAGAGAAAGACUCACGGUUCAGAUGAACUCCUUUCUGCGCCAUUUCAACACUCCCUGUCGACGACGACUGACUGAGUUUUUUUUCCUGAGAAGUGAAACUAGUCUGAGCUCUGAUCUCAACAACAUGUGAGUCAGCAGGAUAUGACCUCAGCACACGGAGGUUACACCCGCCCUCAAACUGUAGAUCUGAAGGGGAGGGAGGAAGGCAGGGAAGGAAACAAGGAAGUGAGAGUGCAGAGUGAAGUGAGCUGUGAGAGACGAGGGAGGGGGGGAUCCAGUUUGUCUACAAUCCAGGACGAGGAGCGUCUCUGUGAACUUUAGACUCUCAAACUCCAACAAGCAGAAGUUCUUAAAGCUGCAGCCGUCCUGAAGAUCAACUGAACCAACAUUUAUUCACCUCAUAGAAACCUCAUCGAGCAGAAACACACUUCAACUGUUUUAGAGCCACAGAGUUAAAGAGACAACACACACACACACACACACACACACACACACACACACACACACACACACACACACACACACACACACACACACACACAUUCUCUCUCUCUCUCUCUCUCUCUCUCUCUCUCUCUCUCCCUCCCUCUCUCUCUCUCUCUUUUCUCUCUCUCCCUCUCUCUCUCUCUCUCUCUCUCUCUCUCUGGUUUGUUCUCGUCGUUUAUUCUCUCUUUUCUCAUCCUCCUUUCUCUAAUCUGUGUCUCCUCUCUCUCUCUCUCCCUCUUUUCUCUUUCUCUCUCUCUCCCUCUCCCCCUCUCCCCCUCUCUCUCUCUCCCUCUCUCUCUCUCUCUCUCUCUCUCUCUCUCUCUCUCUCUCUCUCUCUCUCUCUCCCUCUCCCACUAAGGUGAUCUUCUCCAGUGUUCCCAGCUGAGCCGUGGUCUCUCACAGAUGUCAGGUCUAGAUGAUCCUAAAUCAGAGGAAUGAGGAUCUUAAUCUGGUCUAAUCUGAGGAUCGAUGACUUUGACUCUCGUUGAUGUCACCUCUGACAACUCUCUGACCCUAACAAACCUCAGCCCUCACACUGACAGGGAGCUCUGAAUCCUUUUAGCUUCACUGGUUUAUAAGUCGCUCAGUUUUCUCUGCAGUGUUCUUCUUCUUCAUGGAUUUUAUUCAAACUCUAAUUUUCACUUUGUCACUCAUUAAUACGGUAUUUACUUUGUUUUCUUGCUUGUGUCGGCAGUCGUGGCCAAAGGAGGAUUCAGACAAUUUUCCGAACUUUCUGGUUGGUUUCUACUGUCCGAUAUUGUAGCACGCUAACUUUGUUUGGGCUCCUGAACGACACGGGGGAGCAGCGUCUGCCUCACAACCAAUCAGGUUAGAGGAGGUGGAGAAUGGCUUUGUUUACAGUCAGAAAGAGUGGACCGCUCAAAAAUGUUCAAAUGUUGACGACACAGACAGAAGAGAACACAGAGAUAUCGAUAUAUUACCAAAUGUCAUCAAUAACUAAUAACUAUUGACUGAUAUUAAAAGAUUUUUUGUAAAUACACCACAAAGAAAGAUGCUUCUUUAACAGAAUCCUGACUACCCCACCUUUAACUAGCCUAACUCUAACACUAUUGAUGCUUUGAAAUGUAGAUCUAAAUUUAGACAGUGUGCUUUCUACAUAAAGGCGAGUCUCAGACAUUAAAUCUUAUAACAAAAUUGAGGUGCUGCUAUUGUGGUAAAAACAAACCAGAGCUGAAGCUAUUUUAGAGCAAAGUUUUCAAGCUAUGUAGUAAUAAUGAUAAUUGUUUAUAAAAAGUUUGUGUUUCUGACCUCGUUAGUUUGUUUCAUUUAGUUUAUAUGUUUAAUGUUUGUCAGAGGGGCCCCUUGAGGGUUUUUCCUUGGGGCCCCAGCACACUCUAGAAUCGACUCUGACUGUACCGACUUACAGCGAUGACUCUGAUCUCACAUAAAUCCUCUUCAGCUCUCAGUGUAAUGAUCAAACCCUCGAGGCUCCGAGUAAAUGAGAUAAUAUAGUCGCGGGGCGUUCUGCACAUGCUCAUGUUUGUCACAUCCAUGUAUGUGGAAGAAGCAAUUUGCAUCAACAGGACUGGAAGAAAGCGAGUUUAUUGGUCCCCUAACACCUCUGGGCUGGAAAAUCCUCACGGUCUGAUCAAACCAGAACUCUGAGGCGGGUCUGAGGUCCGUUUCAUCAACAGGAAACUGACUCACACAAAGCUUUGGUCGGGACUUGAUGCCUGAUGGACAAAGAGACUCAGUUACAGGUUUGAAAAUGAAGAAAAAUCACCGCAGGUCAGAUUUUUAUUGCCGCCACUUUUAAUUCUGUCGACACAAACGUGAUGUAUCCACAAGGACGCGUUUGUCCUUCAUGAUACGUGUGUUUGAACGGACAGAAGCACCACAGCUCACAAGUUCACGUCUUUCGAAGUCAAAAUCAUGAGACACGUUUCUAAAGACAUUUAAAAAGGAAACAAAACUCUUAAAAGGAUUUUAUGCAACAAUUCAGUCCAAUUUAAACAAAUUCAACAUUUGCGUCAUUCGCGCCGCCAGAGUAGUAGGAGCAUCUAAUCGCGUCUUUGCAUUGACUUGUAAUUCAUUCGCGUCAAUAAUUUUACUCGCGCUUGGUGUGUGGAGACAGUUAAAGUGUUGACUAAACUUCGCUAUAUAUUUUAUUUUUACUUUCUUUUACUCCCUGAUAAGUAAUUUCACUUCACGCCUGAUUUUGACGUUAUUUCAAUCGACACACUCCAGUGAAAAUGGACGUCGCUCACAUAGUGGUGCGACAGGGAUGACAUGGGGCCCAUUUAGGUGGGUAUCCAUCUAAGAUGUCAUUGUAAUGUGACGACUAGUUGUUGCAAUAUUUUAGGACAUUUUUGUGGGGUAAGGUUCGUCAGCCCUUGGGGGCCCCCUAGUGGCCUGGGGCCCCAGUCAACUGCCUGCCUUACCUGUUGACAACCUCCGGCCCUGAAUACAGCGAGUGUUUUAGUGUGAAAAGGACAAAACUGGGACCACAGAUAAACAUAAAGUAUGUGAGGAAGCAUGGAGAGGAUGUGACAGUGUGUGCCUGAAGAAUUACCCUGUAAGGUAUCAUUCACAGACUCUUUAUACAGCAGCUGUGCGCUCUAAGUACCCGCUCUUUUCCGCUGUCACUUUUUCAAAGUUAAACUUGAAACGAGUGGAAGAAAGAUGUGCAAAGUUAAGAAUACCUCGCAGCAAAACUGAGAUGACAUCUGGAGGAUUUCAGGCUCUUCAGCUCCGAGCGGCACCUGCAGGAAGACAUAUGGCCCGCUAGCUUUUGUUUACUUCAGCGCCAUAUGCGCUGAGUGAUGCAGGCAGAUCCAAGCAUUCAUAUUUACACGCGCACAUAUGCCUACGUGUGGAUGCACACAGUCACCCUUCCUCGAUUCAAAAACACCCACAUAAACACAAUCACACGCCUCGGCUCACACAUUUUCUCACGGCUGGAAAAAGAAAAGGGAUGGUAAUGUUUUCAUCACGACAUGUAAAUCUUUAAGAGAGCGAAACAAACCCUGAUGAAUACUUGGAGGUCUGUGAGCAGUGAUGGAUGGCAGACAGAGCGAUGUGGGAUAAGGACACCGGAGACUUCCUCCUCACUCUUUGUUUUCCCUCAGAUGUGACGUGACAGACAACCUCUGUCUGGCAGAGGAGCCUUCAGUCAUUAAUUAAACAUUAACCACUCCAGCUCCAGGACGUCAGGCAGCGUCUUCUGACAGAUGUCAGAGUUCCCAACAUGCCUCACUGACUUAAUGUCACCAAAGUAAGGAAGUGAACAAGGUGCAGCAUUAAAAUCAUUUAAAAAUCUGUCUGAAUGUCAGGACAAGAGGAGCAGGACGGAGCUGCAGAGCUUACUCAUUCAUGCCCUGCAGAGUUUGUGGACGGCUGAGCCUCGUCUUUAAAUGACAGGGUUGCUGAGGUUGUCGGUUUUCAUUGAGCCUCUAGUUGGCGACUGAAAUAAAAGUUUUAAAAAGUGUAAGAAUGAGAGCUUAAUUAAAGCUGCAAGUGGCGAUAAACGGGUCUAUGUCGGGACCUGAAGCAGCUGAGGGAUGUUCACCGGAGCGAGACUGUGCUGCAGCGAGGACUGAGCAGGAAUAAGUGGAAGAAAAACCAGGAGGUGAAUGUCUCUGUAGAUCCACUCAGACUCCGACUGUCAGCAUGUGUUUAAUAUAGAAAAUGUCGUGUGAGGUAAUACCACUUCGUCCAACAGGGGGCACUGUUUCUAUGAACAGGCUCAAACCCACGGAAGAUGAGAACGGCCAUGAUGUUUUUUUUAUACACUGUCAUCUUGUGAUAAUGACUUAUUAUCUCGUUAUCUCAGUGUAACAGAGUUCAUUCAGUUCCUGCGGCGUUUCCGAAAUAUCCCAAAUCUGGAGGGCAUUUUUAAAAGUUACCGUUGAGGUCGGCGAGAACGCCAUUUCUGUUAUCACAAGAAAACAAACAAGAUAAGUCAUUAUCAUGAGAUAACGGUGCAUAAAAAAGAAAAAUCCAUGGCUGUGUUCGUCUUCUGUACAUUCCAUGUAUGCAGAAGUUAGGACCAUGUGUUUCCACUGGGUGGCGCUAUAACAGUAGAGCAGAAAUUGGCACAUAGAUGUGUUUAGGGAUUGAUAUUAAUCAUGUAUAUGAAAUAUCAAACAGAUCAACUGCUUUAAGAAGGAGAAACCUGGGAUUUUCACCCCAUCUGGAAUGGCUCUGAUCCGGAAUGGAGGCGAUUUUCGCUGUAUGCCAAUCCCUGUCGGAUCCGUUUGUGAGACAAAUUUCGUGGCGGAUUACGGACCGCAGGAAUCACGAUCAGAACCCGCAGAUUCAUGAGCAAUUUCACGAUAACAAGUUGUCUUCCUGUUUGUGUUGAGGCCUUUAAAUCUGUGAUUAUUUAAUCAGAAGAUCGAAAGAAUCGUUAUCCGUGGAUUCAAACGAGGUUUUUACACCAGAGAAAGGAAAAUGCAGGAAUAUAUUAAGCCAAUAAAUCUGUCUUUGACCCUCAUACUGAUAAAUCACUCGCUGCAGAAGCCGGACAAGCUCAGUUACAAGUCCAACUAGUUCAUGUUUCCUCAUCGACUGAUUAAAUUAGAUUCAUUAGAUCAUCACCGUCUUAGUCUGGAUCCUGCGCACAGUUUGAGGCGUGAUCGCUAAUUGCCGGCAGAAAAAGGUGAGGAAACAUGGAGCUACUCUUUGGCAACAACUCCCUCUGCGAGCUCCUCUUAAUGAGGAGGUGGGCAGCAUAUGAAUUCAUCCCCCUGGUGGAGUGGAGUGUGAGCUCUGUUGAUGAUUAAAAAUAACUGAGGAUAUGACUUCUGGCAACUGCAGACAUUUCAUUCUUGGAGCUGAUCUUCAUCUGCAGAGCCAGAUGGAUCUGACCUGGACCUGAUGAGCUCGUUAACGGGGACCUGGAGCUGCAUCACAGUCCGGAGGCGAUUGAUUAACACGGGAGGUGGUGGAGCGGGGAUAACAACUGCACUGAAUAGACGGUUUUCUAAUAAGUCGAGUUAGAAACUUUUAAUGAGGGCUGCAACUGGUUAUUAUUUCCUAUUGAUUAUCGAGUUCUUCAAUAGUUCCGUGGGAGAGCACAUUUAAAGUUCUCUGAGUCCAGGAUGAGAACUUCAGGGAGUGUUUGGCACUUUUUAAUUAAGGAGAUGUAACAGUUUAUCAAAAGUAUUGAUGAACUUGGUAUUGAUAAGGUGAGUGAUUAAAAGUAGGAGGAUCGACGGAUUUCACUUUACACUAUCAAUCCAAACCCAAUCGUUUACCGACGUCCAUGCUGAAGACCUGAGUGUAAUGACCCUCGCCACGCUGUCAUGAAACGGUCGAUAACCCGAUUCCUAAGUUUUAAAAGCUUUAUUCAAUCGCUCAAGACCCGGAUGGUGACCAUUUACCAAAGUGAUCUACAGAGUCCACCUGAGAUAUCAAGAACAUCUAACACUGUUAUUCACCCACAGCUAACCCUCAAAUUCCACCGUGUGUUGAACGGUGCUACUGCGUAACGGUUGCGCCAAAGCCUACCAGAUGUGUUUUUGAGGCGGAUUUUGGAGGGCGGGAAUCAUGACGACAAACCUGCGAAUUCACAUGCGAUAGCAGGAUAAUGAGCUGUCUCUAUAAAGACAGACACAUAACCGUAUAAGAAAUAUAUAUUGGUACGAAUUUGUAACUUACCAUCCACUCCCAUUACUCCUGCUAUAGAGUCCCACGCCAUUUCCUUUUUACCAUUGUCUGUAUUUAAGGAAUGAGACCGGUCAGAGAUUAUUCCAUGAUUUUGGACUUCUAAAAACAGCAUCUCCUCAUCAUGGUGUCAAUGUGGUGAAAUGACGUCUGAAAACCCAUGACUUGUUCGUCCGCGCCCAUGUUUGCAUGGUGUGAAAUACGAUCCGUAUAAAGAAAUUCAGGUUUUAUUUUGAAAAGACGGCAAAUGUUUUAUUUCUUGUCUGAGCCUGACUUCCUUUCCAGCACGGGUUCAUGUGUGCUGAAUGUAUACGGCAUGCUCUGGCGUCCACAAAAAAUAGAACCUUAGCGAACGGCUAUGAAGCCCGCUGAACUGCAGCAGAUCGGAA